CAUGCAAGUCGAACGAAACUUCUUUAUCACCGAGUGCUUGCACUCACCGAUAAAGAGUUGAGUGGCGAACGGGUGAGUAACACGUGGGCAACCUGCCCAAAAGAGGGGGAUAACACUUGGAAACAGGUGCUAAUACCGCAUAACCAUAGUUACCGCAUGGUAACUAUGUAAAAGGUGGCUAUGCUACCGCUUUUGGAUGGGCCCGCGGCGCAUUAGCUAGUUGGUGGGGUAAAGGCUUACCAAGGCAAUGAUGCGUAGCCGAACUGAGAGGUUGAUCGGCCACAUUGGGACUGAGACACGGCCCAAACUCCUACGGGAGGCAGCAGUAGGGAAUCUUCCACAAUGGGCGAAAGCCUGAUGGAGCAACGCCGCGUGGGUGAAGAAGGUCUUCGGAUCGUAAAACCCUGUUGUUAGAGAAGAAAGUGCGUGAGAGUAACUGUUCACGUUUCGACGGUAUCUAACCAGAAAGCCACGGCUAACUACGUGCCAGCAGCCGCGGUAAUACGUAGGUGGCAAGCGUUAUCCGGAUUUAUUGGGCGUAAAGGGAACGCAGGCGGUCCUUUUAAGUCUGAUGUGAAAGCCUUCGGCUUAACCGGAGUAGUGCAUUGGAAACUGGGAGACUUGAGUGCAGAAGAGGAGAGUGGAACUCCAUGUGUAGCGGUGAAAUGCGUAGAUAUAUGGAAGAACACCAGUGGCGAAAGCGGCUCUCUGGUCUGUAACUGACGCUGAGGUUCGAAAGCGUGGGUAGCAAACAGGAUUAGAUACCCUGGUAGUCCACGCCGUAAACGAUGAAUGCUAAGUGUUGGAGGGUUUCCGCCCUUCAGUGCUGCAGCUAACGCAAUAAGCAUUCCGCCUGGGGAGUACGACCGCAAGGUUGAAACUCAAAGGAAUUGACGGGGGCCCGCACAAGCGGUGGAGCAUGUGGUUUAAUUCGAAGCAACGCGAAGAACCUUACCAGGUCUUGACAUCUUUUGCCAAUCCUAGAGAUAGGACUUUCCCUUCGGGGACAAAAUGACAGGUGGUGCAUGGUUGUCGUCAGCUCGUGUCGUGAGAUGUUGGGUUAAGUCCCGCAACGAGCGCAACCCUUAUUGUUAGUUGCCAGCAUUAAGUUGGGCACUCUAGCAAGACUGCCGGUGACAAACCGGAGGAAGGUGGGGAUGACGUCAAAUCAUCAUGCCCCUUAUGACCUGGGCUACACACGUGCUACAAUGGACGGUACAACGAGUCGCAAGACCGCGAGGUUUAGCAAAUCUCUUAAAGCCGUUCUCAGUUCGGAUUGUAGGCUGCAACUCGCCUACAUGAAGUCGGAAUCGCUAGUAAUCGCGGAUCAGAUGCGGGGGGGGAAAAAAUACUUUCCGGGGCCUUGUACACACCGCCCGUCACACCAUGAAGAGUUUGUAACACCCAAAGCCGGUGGGGUAACCUUUUGGAGCCAGCCGUCUAA
Molecule: ribosomal RNA, 1444 nt
Filed under: Ligilactobacillus murinus
Lineage: Bacteria; Bacillati; Bacillota; Bacilli; Lactobacillales; Lactobacillaceae
Description: bacterial SSU rRNA
Rfam family: Bacterial small subunit ribosomal RNA
Source: RNAcentral